CCUGGCGGCCACAGCGCGGCGGUCCCACCUGACCCCAUGCCGAACUCAGAAGUGAAACGCCGUAGCGCCGAUGGUAGUGUGGGGC
This 85-nucleotide ribosomal RNA is filed under the name Pantoea sp. ICBG 1758. Lineage: Bacteria; Pseudomonadati; Pseudomonadota; Gammaproteobacteria; Enterobacterales; Erwiniaceae. The record is from RNAcentral.